This is a long non-coding RNA of Octopus bimaculoides (California two-spot octopus), 2065 nucleotides long. NCBI's taxonomy places the organism in Eukaryota, Metazoa, Mollusca, Cephalopoda, Octopoda, Octopodidae. The record is from RefSeq and is a predicted model, not a curated record.
CUGCUGGUGGUGCUACUUCUAGUUUGGCCUCCUCGAUAUCAUCAGACGCAGCUGAAGAAUUUCUUCAGACUUUAGAUGAGAACCAAGAAAACAAGGAACCGCAGAAGAUGCAGACUCACCAGACCCUGGAGUUCUUUGAGAUGUGCUCCAGCCUAAUUAUAACUCUCGCUCGUUAGAAUCUCUUCCAUUUUAAUUGUUAUUAAUCUGGCUCGUUAAGCCCUCUUUAGUUAGCACCUGCGCAUCUCUCUCCUUCCCCUCACUGCUCUCCUCUCUCUCUCUCUCUCUCUCUCUCUCUCUCAUCUUGCUCCUCUUUCCCUCUCUUGUCUCUCUCUCUCUCUUCCUCUCUCCUUACUCCCAUUUCUCCCCCCUCAAUCCCCCCCCAGCCCUACUAUAUACUAAAUAUAUCCAUAUCUGUAAAUAUUUUUCCAAUUUCUUUCCUUUUUUUCUUUUUCUCUUUUUGUCUUCUUCCUACCUUCCACUCCUUUUUCUGACCCCUAUUUUAUCUAGAUUUCAACGCAUACCCACAGUCAAGUCUGUAUUUAGGGAUCAGUUUGCAUUUCAUAGGGCACUUCUGGGUUGGAGAUGGUUGUCCUGGGUUGGGCAUAGGGCCCCGCCAUAGCCCUUGAUCAGGACAGGAUUGGCUGACAAAAGUCUUGGUGGAGGAGGGGGAGCAGGGGGCAAGAGGCACAUGAUGCCUCCUUUCAGAUUCCUUGUUUGGUUAAACACUGUAUUGUCCCCUUAACUAUUUGCAACCCCUUAAGAACUCCUUGCUUGAUAAAACACUGUACUGUGACCCCUUAAAAACGUUUUGCUUCAUUAAACACUACUAUACUGUCUGUCCCCUUAAAAACUAAACUUCCCCCACCCCAUGCAGCUCAGUUUUAUUACUCCCUUUCUAAUAACCUUCAUGUUUGCUGCCUAUGGCCCUUAUCUCCCAACCCCUAACUUUAACAUUAUUUACUCCAGCGGCCCCUAUUUACACCAUGACAAAAGAUUUUUCCUUUAGUUUUUUUUUCAAUCAUUAUUGCUAAGGAUGCAGAAUUGGUAGAUUGGCAGGCUAAAUUGCAGAAUUGGUAGAUUGGCAGGCUAAAUUGCAGAAUUGGUAGAUUGGCAGGCAAAAUUGUAGAAAAGGUAGAAUGGCUGGCUGAAUUGGUAGAUUGGCAGGCUACAUUGUAGAAAUGGUAAACUGACAAGCUAAAUCACAGAAUUGGGGGGUUGGCAGAUUAAAUUGCAAAAUUGGCUGAUUAAUAGAAAAAAAAAUUUGUAGACUGACAUUCAAAAUUGCUGAAUUAGUAAAUUGGCUGAUACAAUUUCAAAAUUGGUAGAAAAUGGGACAAACAGGUUUAUAAUAUCAGUCCAGGUCUCUUUACAUGUCAGGGUUAAUGUUACUUUUCAUUUAUUAAGUACCAGCUGUGUAUUGAGGGAUUCAGUUGACUAUAUCCUACCUCAAAAAUUUGUGGCUUUGUGCUAAUAUUAGACAAUAUUAAUAAUAAUAGUAAUAAUAAUAAUAAUAAUGGCUCUUAUGGCUUCUGGUCUUAACUGAAUUUUGUCCUGGUGUAAAAGAUGGCCUACAGCAAAAUAUUCUGCUUAACACCACAGAUUUGCUUGUCAGUUGUUUGACCUUAACCAGUUGAGAAUGUCCCUUGGUGGCUGACGAUAUGUGUAUCUCUGAUCACGAGCAGAAGUAGUGGGGGAGCAUCAUAGCCAUGUGUUGAGAGGUAUUCUUUGGGGUUUGGAUAAUUCACCCUUGGAAACAUAGGUGUGUGUGUGUGUGUGUGUGUGUGCAUGUUCACUACUGUCAUUAAGGAUGUAUGUUAGGUGUAUAUAUAUAUAUAUAUAUAUAUAUAUAAAUAAGUGUUGUAGUUUGCUUGAAGCAUUGUUAUAUUAAAGAAGAUAAAAAGAGAGUUUUAUAAAAUCUUUAUAUUUCGGGCGAAGGCCCAUCUUCAGAUGAAAGAAUAGUCUGAGCAAAGUCCAGUUAUGUACCAUAUUUCUGUUGAGAUGCUCUGUGUUUCUUGCAAAUAAUUUUAAAUAUAACAAAGAAUUUAGUAAAAUAACUUCGUUAUCA